Molecule: ribosomal RNA, 438 nt
Filed under: uncultured bacterium
Lineage: Bacteria
Description: partial 16S ribosomal RNA
Rfam family: Bacterial small subunit ribosomal RNA
Source: RNAcentral
AACGAACGCUGGCGGCAUGCCUAACACAUGCAAGUCGAACGAGACCUUCGGGUCUAGUGGCGCACGGGUGCGUAACGCGUGGGAACCUGCCCUUAGGUUCGGAAUAACUCCCCGAAAGGGGUGCUAAUACCGGAUAAUGUCUUCGGACCAAAGAUUUAUCGCCUGUGGAUGGGCCCGCGUUGGAUUAGCUAGUUGGUAGGGUAAAAGCCUACCAAGGCGACGAUCCAUAGCUGGUCUGAGAGGAUGAUCAGCCACACUGGGACUGAGACACGGCCCAGACUCAGAGGGGAGGCAGCAGUGGGGAAUAUUGGAGAAUGGGAGGAAGCCUGAGGGAGAAAAGACGCGUGCGGGAUGACGGAAUAAGGGGUGUAAAGAGCGUUCGCCUGUGACGAAGCGUGAGGGACGGUAAUGGGUAAAGAAGAAACGGCUAACUACGUG